Molecule: transfer RNA, 64 nt
Filed under: human gut metagenome
Rfam family: tRNA
About the family: Transfer RNA (tRNA) molecules are approximately 80 nucleotides in length. Their secondary structure includes four short double-helical elements and three loops (D, anti-codon, and T loops).
Source: RNAcentral
UGGUGUAGCUCAAUUGGCAGAGCAGCUGAUUUGUAAUCAGCAGGUUGCGGGUUCAAGUCCCAUC